This 253-nucleotide ribosomal RNA is filed under the name uncultured bacterium. RNAcentral's name for it is "partial 16S ribosomal RNA". It matches the Rfam family "Bacterial small subunit ribosomal RNA", at positions 524 to 776 of the family's 1533-position model. The record is from RNAcentral.
GACGAGUCUCACAAACGUUAUUCGGAAUUACUGGGCUUAAAGGGUGCGUAGGCGGUGGAGUAAGUCGGGUGUGAAAUACCAUAGCUUAACUAUGGAACUGCACUCGAUACUACUUUGCUAGAGUAAGACAGAGGUGAGUGGAACUGAGGGUGGAGCGGUGAAAUGCGUUGAUAUCCUCAGGAACACCGGUGGCGAAGGCGACUCACUGGGUCUUUACUGACGCUGAUGCACGAAAGCUAGGGUAGCAAACGGG